CGAUGAAGGACGUGCUAAUCUGCGAAAAGCGUCGGUAAGGUGAUAUGAACCGUUAUAGCCGGCGAUGUCCGAAUGGGGAAACCCAGUGCAAUUCGUUGCACUAUCGUUAACUGAAUACAUAGGUUAACGAGGCGAACCGGGGGAACUGAAACAUCUAAGUACCCCGAGGAAAAGAAAUCAACCGAGAUUCCCCCAGUAGCGGCGAGCGAACGGGGAGCAGCCCAGAGUCUGAAUCAGCUUGUGUGUUAGUGGAACGGUCUGGAAAGUCCGACGGUACAGGGUGAUAGUCCCGUACACCAAAAUGCACAGGCUGUGAACUCGAAGAGUAGGGCGGGACACGUGGUAUCCUGUCUGAAUAUGGGGGGACCAUCCUCCAAGGCUAAAUACUCCUGACUGACCGAUAGUGAACCAGUACCGUGAGGGAAAGGCGAAAAGAACCCCGGCGAGGGGAGUGAAAAAGAACCUGAAACCGUGUACGUACAAGCAGUGGGAGCACCUU
Molecule: ribosomal RNA, 499 nt
Filed under: Klebsiella quasipneumoniae
Lineage: Bacteria; Pseudomonadati; Pseudomonadota; Gammaproteobacteria; Enterobacterales; Enterobacteriaceae
Description: partial 23S ribosomal RNA
Rfam family: Bacterial large subunit ribosomal RNA
Source: RNAcentral